GAUGAACGCUGGCGGCGUGCUUAACACAUCGCAAGUCGAGCGAGAAGUUUUGAAAAGAUUCUUCGGAUGAAAUUUAAAAUGGAAAGCGGCGGACGGGUGAGUAACGCGUAGGCAACCUGCCCCAUACAAAGGGAUAGCAUUUGGAAACGAAUAUUAAUACCUUAUGAAACUUAACUAGCGCAUGCUAGGUGGGUCAAAGAUUUAUCGGUAUGGGAUGGGCCUGCGUCUGAUUAGCUAGUUGGUGAGGUAACGGCUCACCAAGGCGACGAUCAGUAGCCGACCUGAGAGGGUGCCACGGCCACAUUGGAACUGAGACACGGUCCAAACUCCUACGGGAGGCAGCAGUGGGGAAUAUUGCACAAUGGGGAAACCCUGAUGCAGCAACGCCGCGUGAACGAUGAAGGCCUUUGGGUCGUAAAGUUCUGUUCUAGGUGAUGAAAACUGACAGUAACCUAGGAGAAAGCCCCGGCUAACUCCGUGCCAGCAGCCGCGGUAAUACGGAGGGGGCAAGCGUUAUCCGGAAUUAUUGGGCGUAAAGGGUACGUAGGUGGCCUUUUAAGCGUAGGGUAUAAGGCAAUGGCUCAACCAUUGUUCGCCCUAUGAACUGGAAGGCUUGAGUGCAGGAGAGGAAAGCGGAAUUCCUAGUGUAGCGGUGGAAUGCAUAGAUAUUAGGAGGAACAUCAGCGGCGAAGGCGGCUUUCUGGACUGCAACUGACACUGAGGUACGAAAGCGUGGGGAGCAAACAGGAUUAGAUACCCUGGUAGUCCACGCCGUAAACGAUGAGCACUAGGUGUCGGGGUCGUAAGGCUUCGGUGCCGUAGUUAACGCAUUAAGUGCUCCGCCUGGGGAGUACGCACGCAAGUGUGAAACUCAAAGGAAUUGACGGGGACCCGCACAAGCAGCGGAGCAUGUGGUUUAAUUCGAAGCAACGCGAAGAACCUUACCAGGACUUGACAUCCUUCUGACCGGUCUCUAAUAGGACCUUUCUUUUGACAGAAGAGACAGG
Molecule: ribosomal RNA, 1007 nt
Filed under: [Eubacterium] brachy
Lineage: Bacteria; Bacillati; Bacillota; Clostridia; Peptostreptococcales; Anaerovoracaceae
Description: bacterial SSU rRNA
Rfam family: Bacterial small subunit ribosomal RNA
Source: RNAcentral